Molecule: RNA transcript, 1557 nt
Organism: Salvia miltiorrhiza (redroot sage)
Lineage: Eukaryota; Viridiplantae; Streptophyta; Magnoliopsida; Lamiales; Lamiaceae
Gene name: eIF-2-alpha kinase GCN2-like
Exons: 3
Source: RefSeq, a predicted model, not a curated record
GUAUCUAAUUCAUCAAAAUCCCAAAUCAAAGAACACAUCCAGAUUUGCCGAUAACUUAAUAGUAAAUGCUCUUGAACAGCUCAAAUUCAAUUUGAGGUAUAAACAAAUGGGCGAUUCGAAGAAGAAGAAGCGGAGCGGUGGCGGAGGUCGCCGCGCCCAGUCGAAGGGCCAUCACUCGACUACCGCCGAUAAUUCAGAAAUUUUAACCGAGGAAGAAACUGCGUUGUGAGUUUUUUCUUAUUUUUGAACUUUUAAUGAACACAUUUUAUAUUAUUGUUGUUUACUUGUUUUUAUCAUUCUAGUGAGCUACUAUGUGUAGAUAUUUUGUUCAAUGAAUGUACGUUCAAUAGCUUGAGCUCCUGAAUCACCUCCUCGAAUCAACAUCAAGCUCAGGUCAUGCUCAAAGGAUACCGGAUAUGAGGAUUCUAAUGUUUGUGCUCAGCUUUCUUUGAGAUGUUUACCAGGUUAUCCAUAUAAAUGCCCGAAGCUGUAGAUAAUACCAAAGAAAAGGCUUAUCAAAAACUGAUGCUAAUAAUCUUUUAUCUCUACUUUAUGAUCAGGUAGGACCUUAGUGAUAGCCAGAGGAGGAGGAGGAUUACUCGAUAUGUUCUUUGAUUUGGGAUUUUGAUGAAUUGGAUACGACGGCGAUUAGUUUAGGGGAUGUAUUAUUUUACUCUUUUUUAUAAGUAUAAUAAAGUAUAAUAAUACUGAUAAUUCCAUGUGGAUUAAUAAGUCCACGUAAUCAAACUCCGGCGUUCCACGUCAACUUUCGGGCGCUGAAAAUAUUUUAAGGGACACAAUUUAAAAAAUAUUGGUAGGUUGGGUACCAAUUAGAUAUUAUCGAAAAGUUGAGACAAAUCGAUAAUUCGACCAAACGAUGGGACAUAAAGUGAUAUUUACCCAUUUGUUUUCUAUAUAAUGUGUUUUUGUUUUCUAGAGAAUUAGGAGAGUCACCUAUUAUAUAAUCAAAUAAGCAAUUCACGCAGACAAAACAUGUACAUUACACAACGGUGAAAAAAUUAUCUACAUAUAAAUAAAACCACUACUUAUAUAGAAAUGAAAAAACUAAAUGCACGCAGGAAAGAUUGAAUUCAAGACCUCUCAUAAAAGAGAGUCUCGAAAUUGCUAAACUAGUUGCAACUUGCAAAUAUAGCAUCACCAGCUCAAUGGAAAUACUAAAAACGAACAAAAAAAAUUAGAGGACACACUGCCAUAUAAGAAAUUUUCUUUUUGGUCAAAAACUACCCUAUAAGAAUUAAUUAAAUUUACUUUCGUCAUAUGUUUAUUUGAUUUAUUCAAUUCAAUGUUAAAUUUACUUUUGCAAAUAUAGCAUCACAGUUGAUUGUGCAGUGUGUGAAUCCUUCGAGUGAGAGGCGUCCUCUCAUGAGCUAUGUGGUGACGGAACUAGAUCGGAUUCUUGAGAAAGAAAUGAGCUUGACGACAAUCAUGGGGGAAGGAACUCCGGUCGUGACCUUUGGAAGGCAGCGAUUCGCUUAUAUAGUGGGGAGGUUGUAGAUUUCUUAAAUUAUUUUUAAACGGCCACAGCGAUCGCUGGGU